RNAcentral lists this ribosomal RNA (324 nucleotides) under uncultured bacterium. RNAcentral describes it as "bacterial SSU rRNA". It matches the Rfam family "Bacterial small subunit ribosomal RNA", at positions 505 to 827 of the family's 1533-position model. The record is from RNAcentral.
GUGCCAGCCGCCGCGGUCAUACGUAGGGUGCAAGCAUUAUCCGGAGUGACUGGGCGUAAAGGGUUGCGUAGGUGGUUUGUUAAGCAGGUAGUGAAAUCUGGCGGCUCAACCGUACAGGCUAUUACCUGAACUGGCAAACUCGAGAAUGGUAGAGGUAACUGGAAUUUCUUGUGUAGGAGUGAAAUCCGUAGAUAUAAGAAGGAACACCAAUGGCGUAGGCAGGUUACUGGACCAUUUCUGACACUAAGGCACGAAAGCGGUGGGAGCGAACGGGAUUAGAUACCCGGUAGUCCACGCCGUAAACGAUGGAUACUAGCUGUUGGA